UACGUAGGGGGCAAGCGUUGUCCGGAUUUAUUGGGCGUAAAGAGCGUGUAGGCGGCUUUACAGGUCCGUUGUGAAAACUCGAGGCUCAACCUCGAGACGCCGGUGGAAACCGUAAAGCUAGAGUCCGGAAGAGGAGAGUGGAAUUCCUGGUGUAGCGGUGAAAUGCGCAGAUAUCAGGAGGAACACCGAUGGCGAAGGCAGGUCUCUGGGCCAUAACUGACGCUGAGAAGCGAAAGCAUGGGGAGCGAACAGG
This 253-nucleotide ribosomal RNA is filed under the name uncultured bacterium. RNAcentral's name for it is "partial 16S ribosomal RNA". It matches the Rfam family "Bacterial small subunit ribosomal RNA", at positions 524 to 776 of the family's 1533-position model. The record is from RNAcentral.